AUUAAUAUCCUCAAAUAGUACAUAGGGGGUCAGUGAGUUUCUUUUAACGUUUCCUUUAUCACCUCAGCGGGUUUGUUCAGUAAAUAAGAGUAGGAGUGGGUGUGAAAGCCCUAACUCUGGACACUGCCAUGUAUCCUCUGUUUCCUUGUAGUGGGGCCCAGCAACUCCGGGGGCUCUCUGUGUGCCAUGAGUGGCCGCGUGUGUGUGGGGUCCCCGCCUGGCCCAGGCUUCGGCUCUUCCCCUCCAGGAGCAGAGGCAGCUCCCAGCCUGAGAUACGUGCCUUACGGUGCUUCACCCCCCAGCCUAGAGGGGCUCAUCACCUUUGAAGCCCCUGAACUGCCGGAGGAGACGCUGAUGGAGCGAGAACACACAGACACCUUACGCCAUCUGAAUGUGAUGCUGAUGUUCACUGAGUGUGUGCUGGACCUGACAGCCAUGAGGGGAGGAAACCCUGAGCUGUGCACAUCUGCUGUGUCCUUGUACCAGAUCCAGGAGAGUGUGGUGGUGGACCAGAUCAGUCAGCUGAGCAAAGACUGGGGGCGGGUGGAGCAGCUGGUG
RNAcentral lists this small RNA (558 nucleotides) under Pongo abelii (Sumatran orangutan). RNAcentral's name for it is "retained intron". Lineage: Eukaryota; Metazoa; Chordata; Mammalia; Primates; Hominidae. The record is from RNAcentral.